AAAUUAAAAAAAAAUUAAAAAACCCUUGGAAUUUGGCAUUUGCCUUAGGAUCAUUUCUACAUUACAAAUUUCUAUCCAUCCAUCUUCAACCAAGCAACGUGACAAAGCCUCAUCCCUUGAAUAUUUAAUUUGCAUCAACAACAUGGAAGCUUCUUCUAAAACAGUUAAGUUUAUGUUCUAAAAGUAUCCACAAUUCUCUUUGUUUCAUUUUCAGCUUCAUUAAGUAAGUUUUGAGUGAAUUUAAAAACCUCACCCUAGUUGGCACUAAAAGAGAAGACUUCCAAACUCGUCUAUGAAUUACAAUUAGAAAAUCUCAAAAUUGUUGUCCCUAAGUGGGAUCGCUUUCACCUGACAUUAGGAGACUCAUCAUCACAAGGAGAACACAUUGAACACAUCAGCAUAAACAUUCCAUUAAAACUUAUUUCCAUGUUAGAGAAGACAGAAGUGUCAUAUAAUUGCUAGCAAUGGAUCAUAGUAAACUUUAAAUACACAAAAAGUACAGCAAGAGCACUCGGCACA
RNAcentral lists this unclassified non-coding RNA (519 nucleotides) under Hevea brasiliensis (rubber tree). The record is from RNAcentral. Lineage: Eukaryota; Viridiplantae; Streptophyta; Magnoliopsida; Malpighiales; Euphorbiaceae.